UUGUAGAGAACCCGUUAUCAUUGCCUGUCCCUGUGCCAUUGACCUACUCAUUCUUCCGUGGCAUCUCCUUCCUUGUUGCUUUCUUCCAUGAAGCAAGAGCACUUAUCUUUAUUCAUUGUUUUCUCCGUUUCUGAUCGCUGAAAAGGAAACAGGUCGGUUAUGUAUUCAAUUCCAAUACCAACAUUUCGAAUCUGAAAUAUUAAGUUAAAAAGCUUAUCCUUGCUCAAGAAAGGGUUCAGCUCUGAGGGGGAAGACUAGAAAGAAUCCAGCUGAAGAAAUUAAAGUUGAUGUAAAGGAAUUGCUGAUCAGAGCCAUUCAUGUCAUCAUGGGCAGAUGCUGUUCUUGAAGAUAAUAAUAGAGCAUAGAAGAAUUGCUUCAUGUGUUUGUGUCCUGUUUUAAAGAUUCGCCACCAGCUAAGUGAAAAGUGAAGGAGAUGGUGAGGGUUGGUGAAGUCAGAGGAGAAGGGAAGUUUAAUAGAGUUUCCUAUCGCAUCCCUCCUCAGGGCUUACCGCCUGUGAAAGAUUAUGAGGCAUUUGAAUCAAGAACAUUGGUUUUGGAGGAGAUUUAUGGAGGUGUUAAAGAAUGUUUGUUUAAUUGGAUAUAUGGAAUGGGAGGUGUAGGUAAGACUAUAUUAGUGAAAGAAAUUUCUUCUCAGAUCAUAAAUGAGCAACUUCAAAUGGAGAAGAAAGUUCUUGUAAUUCUUGAUGAUAUCUGGGGAAAAAAUUGAACUGGAGGAGAUAGGAAGAGGCAAGAUUUUGUCUCAAUUGCAUCCGGAAAUCAUCAUAUCUUUACUGUAGCAUAUGGCAUUGUAUUGGACAGAGAAUCACGGUGUAGCAUAUGUCAUUGUAUUGGACAGAGAAAUCACGGUGUAGUGUCAUUGUAUUGGACAGAGAUAUUAUGGUACCGAAGGGUGCGCUGCAGCCUCUCUGACUUGUUGCAAAAUCGCUGACAUUCUCAACUGUUUGAAUUCCAAAACUCAAGUAAUUUUUGCUAUUACGAUACUCAGUAGAAAGAAACCAUUUUUCCAAACUUGCUAAAUCACUUCAAUUUCUUGAAAACCUUCAAAUAUUGCGUCGCGUCAAAUAGCUAUGGUCUAAAUUGUAAAAGAUAUAGGAUAAAUUGCAUUAGCAGUGUUUGAAUUUUCCAAAUUUGCCAUUUCAAUUUUCAGUGUUAUUUUCUUUCCGAAAAAAGUAUAUAAACUUUAAAAGCAUUUCCAA
Ricinus communis (castor bean) is the source of this 1217-nucleotide long non-coding RNA. RefSeq lists it as uncharacterized. NCBI's taxonomy places the organism in Eukaryota, Viridiplantae, Streptophyta, Magnoliopsida, Malpighiales, Euphorbiaceae. The record is from RefSeq and is a predicted model, not a curated record. The transcript is spliced from 2 exons.